UAGGGAAUCUUCGGCAAUGGACGGAAGUCUGGCCGAGCAACGCCGCGUGAGUGAAGAAGGUUUUCGGAUCGUAAAGCUCUGUUGUAAGAGAAGAACGAGUGUGAGAGUGGAAAGUUCACACUGUGACGGUAUCUUACCAGAAAGGGACGGCUAACUACGUGCCAGCAGCCGCGGUAAUACGUAGGUCCCGAGCGUUGUCCGGAUUUAUUGGGCGUAAAGCGAGCGCAGGCGGUUAGAUAAGUCUGAAGUUAAAGGCUGUGGCUUAACCAUAGUAGGCUUUGGAAACUGUUUAACUCGAGUGCAAGAGGGGAGAGUGGAAUUCCAUGUGUAGCGGUGAAAUGCGUAGAUAUAUGGAGGAACACCGGUGGCGAAAGCGGCUCUCUGGCUUGUAACUGACGCUGAGGCUCGAAAGCGUGGGGAGCAAACAGGAUUAGAUACCCUGGUAGUCCACGCUGUAAACGAUGAGUGCUAGGUGUUAGACCCUUUCCGGGGUUUAGUGCCGUAGCUAACGCAUUAAGCACUCCGCCUGGGGAGUACGACCGCAAGGUUG
RNAcentral lists this ribosomal RNA (550 nucleotides) under uncultured bacterium. RNAcentral describes it as "bacterial SSU rRNA". It matches the Rfam family "Bacterial small subunit ribosomal RNA", at positions 355 to 896 of the family's 1533-position model. The record is from RNAcentral.